RNAcentral lists this ribosomal RNA (298 nucleotides) under uncultured bacterium. RNAcentral's name for it is "partial 16S ribosomal RNA". It matches the Rfam family "Bacterial small subunit ribosomal RNA", at positions 333 to 629 of the family's 1533-position model. The record is from RNAcentral.
CUAUUCCUACGGGAGGCAGCAGUGAGGAAUAUUGGUCAAUGGCCGGAAGGCUGAACAAGCCAAGUCGCGUGAGGGACGACUGCCCUAUGGGUUGUAAACCUCUUUUAUAAGGGAAGAAUAAAUGCUACGUGUAGCAUGAUGCCUGUACCUUAUGAAUAAGCAUCGGCUAACUCCGUGCCAGCAGCCGCGGUAAUACGGAGGAUGCGAACGUUAUCCGGAUUUAUUGGGUUUAAAGGGUGCGUAGGCGGUUUUUUAAGUUAGUGGUUAAAAGUCAGGGCUUCACCUUGAUUUGCCAUUA